This 504-nucleotide long non-coding RNA is filed under the name Homo sapiens (human). Its description in RNAcentral is "HSALNT0302414". The record is from RNAcentral. Lineage: Eukaryota; Metazoa; Chordata; Mammalia; Primates; Hominidae.
UGGAACCAGCAAAGAAGACAGAAACAACAGCCACAGAGCUAAAAAGGAGAAGCAAGUGAGUCUCCAAAACUAAGUGAAAAAGAUGUGUUUUGAAGAAAAGGGAGUGAGCAACUGUGUUGAGUGCUGAAGACAGGUCAAGUAUAAAGAGGGCUGAGAUUGGACCACUGGAUUUGGCAGCAUGGAGGUACCUGAUGCCACCAAUUCCUGAGUUUUUCUGCUGUUCAGUGGAGUGGACUAUCGCCUUCAAAUUAGCCUGGCCCUGGGCAGGAAGAGAGAGUACCUGGAUCACCAUGGCAAAAUCGGAGAAGGCGUCACAGAAGAGGAAGAUACGUAUGCGCUUCUUAAUGUGGCAUCAUCUCUAACAAAAUACUUGCAUAAUGCACAUACAUCAGCCACAGUGCCUGGGUCAGCCUCCACGGUAUCUUCAGGGCAAGCAUCACUUUCCAUUUCCCAAAAGGAAUAGCUACUUUCUAUUUUGUUUUUGGAAAAGGAAGGUAGGGCAGA